CCUACGGGAGGCAGCAGUGAGGAAUAUUGGUCAAUGGGCGCGAGCCUGAACCAGCCAAGUAGCGUGAAGGAUGACUGCCCUACGGGUUGUAAACCUCUUUUAUAAAGGAAUAAGGUGCGGCACGUGACCCUUUUUGUAUGUACUUUAUGAAUAAGGAUCGGCUAACUCCGUGCCAGCAGCCGCGGUAAUACGGAGGAUCCGAGCGUUAUCCGGAUUUAUUGGGUUUAAAGGGAGCGUAGGCGGGUUGUUAAGUCAGUUGUGAAAGUCUGCGGCUCAACCGUAGAAGUGCAAUUGAUACUGGCAGUCUUGAGUGCAGUAGAGGUAGGCGGAAUUCGUGGUGUAGCGGUGAAAUGCUUAGAUAUCACGAAGAACUCCGAUUGCGAAGGCAGCUUACUAAACUGCAACUGACAUUGAUGCUCGAAAGUGUGGGUAUCAAACAGGAUUAGAUACCCGAGUAGUC
RNAcentral lists this ribosomal RNA (460 nucleotides) under uncultured bacterium. RNAcentral describes it as "partial 16S ribosomal RNA". It matches the Rfam family "Bacterial small subunit ribosomal RNA", at positions 338 to 795 of the family's 1533-position model. The record is from RNAcentral.